Long non-coding RNA from Vicia villosa (hairy vetch), 1237 nucleotides. RefSeq lists it as uncharacterized. The record is from RefSeq and is a predicted model, not a curated record. The transcript is spliced from 4 exons. Lineage: Eukaryota; Viridiplantae; Streptophyta; Magnoliopsida; Fabales; Fabaceae.
UUUCAACAUCCUGGUAUUUUAUUUCCGAGACUUUCCUUCUCUCCUUCUUCUUCACUAUUUCUCUCCAUCUUCACUCUACCCAUCCCCAACUCCAAUUCGAAACCCUAGCUCCGCCAUCCUUUCUCCACCGCCGCCACUUCAUCUCUAUUUUAUAUUUACUAAGUUAUAUUAGGGUUUUGAAACAGUUUUUAUUUUGAUUUUUGCAGAAUGUUUUUCGAUGAUUUUAACACACAAAAUACUUGUGACUGCAACAAACUCUCAACAGCAAGACACAGAUCCUAUGGUUGAGUUCGAUGGUGAAGAAACUGGAUCUUGAUCUAGAUCUAAGAAUUUUAUUUAUCUUUUGGAUUGAAAGUGUCUAAGAAAAGAACAGAAACAAACAGAAAAGAAGCGAAAAGUACUUAGGCUACAUUAUCAUUACAAACUAUGCUUAGGAUGAAAAGAAUAAAAGUUCGUUCGAGAGGUGGGGGCAGCUGUCGGCUGCAUUGGUUCUGUAGAAGCUCUGUCCAAAUGGCUGUCCCGAUCGGUCUUUAGACUUUGUGAUAUAACUGUUGGAUAGCUUUCAAGCCACGAAUUCAAGUUUGCUUUACCGAUGUUCGUGUGUUUCGGGGUGCUGUUUUUCAAGGGCUCUGCUUGCAAAGCAGUGUGGAUAGCUUCUCGUCUGGUUGCUCGCAUCAGCCGCGUGUUUUGGAGGCAUGUUCUAAUGGCGUUAGCAGUUAUUGAUCUAAGGUGUGGCGGUGCCGUUGGGUUUUCAGGCAAUCUGUUAUGGUGUUUAGUCUCUCAUUUUGGACAGGGUUGUUGGUGUUUCUCUGCAGAAAAUUAGAUGUAACAAGUUGUUAGUUGAAUUGGUUUUGCUUUGGUUACAUUGAGUUAUAAGUCCAAGUAUGUAGGAGUUUUAGCUUAUGCAAUAUGCUUUUUUUGGUAUCUGUGUGGUGAACUGCUGUUAGUUAGCAAGAACUUUUGUUAUUUUGGUAUCUCUUAUACCAUUUGGUUAAUAUAAUUCUUUAUGUUGGCCUUUAAAAAAAAAACAGUAACUACAUCUGCAUUGUGUCAACUAAUUAAAAGCAUUGUGUAUUCCAGUAUAAUUAAAGGGCAAGUAUGGUUAAUGAAAUAAUAUCAUUACCAAAAAAAUAAAAAAUAAUAUGAAAUAAUAUUGGCCUUUGUAAUUAACAAAAAUACAAUGCAUAAUUUCACAUAACGCCUCUAACAGCCUAACUUCUAAAAGACUAUCAAAACC